AAGUUAUGGUGUCUGACAUGUUACUGAUCAAUGUACAUCAAAUUAUGGUUGCUUGAUAUGUUGACCAAAUGAUGGAUUUUGAAGAUCAAGAUGUGUUUAUCAAGACAAAUCCUGAAGAUAUGCAGUGAUCAAGUGGGUGUGCUUGUAUAUCAAGUUGUGUAUAUUAAGUUGUGAUGAUCAAGAUUAUUUUGAUUAGUAUUCAAGUUAUACCUUGUUCACUAAGUUUUUUUAUCAAUUUUUGCUAGGAAUUUCAUUGUUUUUUUAUCUUAUUUUU
Molecule: long non-coding RNA, 274 nt
Filed under: Lathyrus oleraceus (garden pea)
Lineage: Eukaryota; Viridiplantae; Streptophyta; Magnoliopsida; Fabales; Fabaceae
Description: Pisum sativum (pea) long non-coding RNA (PSAT_LNC007267)
Source: RNAcentral